UACAGAGGUCCCAAGCGUUGUUCGGAUUCACUGGGCGUAAAGGGUGCGUAGGCGGUUGGGUAAGUCUGAUGUGAAAUCUCACAGCUUAACUGUGAAACUGCAUUGGAUACUAUCCGGCUAGAGGAAUGGAGGGAGACUGGAAUACUUGGUGUAGCAGUUGAAUGCGUAGAUAUCAAGUGGAACACCAGUGGCGAAGGCGAGUCUCUGGACAUUUCCUGACGCUGAGGCACGAAAGCCAGGGGAGCAAACGGG
RNAcentral lists this ribosomal RNA (252 nucleotides) under uncultured bacterium. RNAcentral's name for it is "partial 16S ribosomal RNA". It matches the Rfam family "Bacterial small subunit ribosomal RNA", at positions 524 to 776 of the family's 1533-position model. The record is from RNAcentral.